This 305-nucleotide ribosomal RNA is filed under the name uncultured bacterium. Its description in RNAcentral is "bacterial SSU rRNA". It matches the Rfam family "Bacterial small subunit ribosomal RNA", at positions 337 to 659 of the family's 1533-position model. The record is from RNAcentral.
UCCUACGGGGCGCAGCAGUGGGGAAUAUUGCACAAUGGGGGAAACCCUGAUGCAGCAACGCCGCGUGAGUGAAAAAGUAUUUCGGUAUGUAAAGCUCUAUCAGCAGGGAAGAAGAUGACGGUACCUGAUUAAGAAGCCCCGGCUAACUACGUGCCAGCAGCCGCGGUAAUACGUAGGGGGCAAGCGUUAUCCGGAUUUACUGGGUGUAAAGGGAGCGCAGACGGCAGUGCAAGUCUGGAGUGAAAGCCCGGGGCCCAACCCCGGAACUGCUUUGGAAACUGUACAGCUAGAGUGCAGGAGGGGUG